RNAcentral lists this long non-coding RNA (3677 nucleotides) under Arabidopsis lyrata. Its description in RNAcentral is "long non-coding RNA (ALYR_LNC000559)". Lineage: Eukaryota; Viridiplantae; Streptophyta; Magnoliopsida; Brassicales; Brassicaceae. The record is from RNAcentral.
AGUCUUCUUGCUUCUGUGUCUUCACGAGUAAUUUAUUGACAAUAUUAUCGAAAAGCGAAUAACCAGAAUUGAGUUUGCCGACAAAACAAAUAUAAAAAAUCACCAGAGAGACCUGAUCAAUUUGUUAACAUGGCCGAUUCUGACCCUAUCCUCAAUUAAAGUUGAUUAUGGACCCAUUAUCUCAUUUCAGUCAUUGCUUUGAAUUCGUUAUACUCAUUUUUGUUUCGAAAAUGAGUAUAUUUUAGACUUUCCGUUUAGUAUAUACACUUUUUUCUUGUUUUUUAGCAAAUAAUAUUCAUUUUUAUAAUUAUUUAUUAGUUUUUUUUUUUUCUUCAAUUAGUUUAGUUCUAUUGAAUAAUAGAAUAAAAGAUGGUAUAGAAAUUUUGCAUAAAAUGCAACAUAACACAAUUUCUUCCCAAAAACAUGUACUAAUAAAAAAAACAGAUGUAAUAAUAACGUAGAAUAUAAUCCACGCUACAUAAAUUUGUUUAAUACUUGUAAAAUCGUAAGAAGUAAUAGUCUAAUAUCGGUUUAUACUAUUUAAAUAGAAAAAAAACUAACUAUAAACUAUUCUAUGUUUUGUUGGCAAAAAAGUUGAAAAACUAUAAUAUUGGUUUAUUUUUCAAUAUGUUUAUAUUAAUUUGUGGUAUUUUACUGUGUUAAUGUUUUAUUUUUAGACUUAUAAUUUUCUAAUCUCCUAUAUCUUAAUGUUUUUAGUUUCAUUUAAAAUAAUCUACUCUUUUCUAUUGAUGAUAUGGUAUUAACUUUUAAAUAUUGGUUUAUAUCUUAAAUUAUAUCUAUGAUUUCUGCUAUAUUUUUGGAUCAAAUAACUUUCACAACAUAUCGGGUUCAAAACCCACUUACAUUUACAUAUGUAAUGUUAUCGACCAAAUAAUAAUAUUACUAAUACAUAUAAAAUCAUAUUCCCCAUCGGAUGACGGAGUAUUUGUUCAGCUAGAUCUCUGAUUAAUAAAGGACUAAUUAAAAGAGUCGGAUCUGGGACAUCCAUCUCGGUGUGGGAAGAUCCUUGGAUUCCAGCUCAAUUCCCGAGACCAGCAAAAAGUAAUGGUUCAGUUGCUGACCCAUCUUUAAAAGUUAAAGACCUUAUAGAUAAUCGGUCAAAUUUUUGGAAUAUUGAUCUCUUAAGAGCAAUCUUUAAUCUAGAAGAUGUCGCUCUAAUAAGCGUUAUACCUGUGGGUUCGCCAACAAAAGAAGAUUUUUUUUGUUGGCAUUUUACAAAAUCUGGAAAAUAUAAAGUCAAAUCGGGAUAUCAUUCUACACGGAUGGAAAAGUCGGAGACCAAUUUAAACUGUUUUGGCCCUAAUAUCAACCCGUUAAAAGCAUAUUCUUGGCAAGUGCAGUGUCCACCUAAGAUACGCCAUUUCAUAUGGCAAAUCUUAACGGGAUGUGUACCGGUUACGGAAAAGUUGCGGAAAAGGGAAUUGAUUGUGACACGGGUUGUGCCAGAUGUGGCGCAGCAGAGGAAACGAUCAAUCAUACACUCUUUCAGUGCCACCCGACACGGCAGAUUUGGGCGUUUUCACAGAUUCCUACGGCUAUGGGGGGUUUUCCCCACAGAAUCUAAUUUUACGAAUUUUGAUCACUUAUUUUGGAGAAUACCUACGGAAGUUGAUUCAUCAGCCUUCCCAUGGAUAAUUUGGUAUAUUUGGAAAUCAAGGAACGAAAAGAUCUUUGAAAACAUAGAUACAGACCCAUUAGAAGUAUUACGAUUAGCGGAAAAAAAGGCACAAUUGUGGUAGUCCGCUCAAAUUGAGCUUUAUCAUGAAAAUCAUGGUUUUGUGCACUUGGUAAAUCGAAUUCGAGUGAGGGAUGUUUCACUUGAGACGGAGUAUUCGGGAUACCGUUGUUUUGUGGAUGGAUCAUGGAAAGAAAGUGAUAAGUUCUCCGGUACAGGUUGGUUCUGUACAUCGUCAAAUGGAGAGCCGCCAACCAUGGGAGCUGCGAACCUCCGUAGAAGUCUAUCUCCACUACAUGCCGAAGUCGAGGCCCUUCUCUGGGCGAUGAAGUGUAUGAUUGGUGCAGAUAAUCAAGAGGUAGCGUUCUUUACACUGUUCAGACCUGGUGAAGAUGGUGUCUUCUCCAACCGAAUGGCCGGCGUUUUCAAUGUAUUUGGAGGAAUUUCAGAGCGACAAGGAGGAGUUUUCAUCUUUUUCUUUAUCUUUAAUUUCUCGUAAGGCUAAUGUUAAGGCGGAUAAUCUGGCACGAAAAGUUCAUACAGAACCGCUUCAUAUCACUUAUGUAAACAACAUUCCUCAAGAAUGAUUCUUUUGAGCUCUAAUUAAUUUCGGAUGACAAAAAAAAAAAAAAGAAGACCAAAUACUAGUAAUAAAAACAUGAGUUAUUUUUUAAGAGACAAGUUUAACUUUCUAAGCUCAACUUUAAAAAUUCACAUCUUACUUUACUACAAAUUUUCAUAAAUGCACUUAAAUAAUGUGAUAAAUUUUGUUCGCAUCUACGUAAUGGUACAUAUACUUUAUUUUCCAUUAAUUAAAUAGUUAGAAAGACAUUUUCAUCUUUUUGUGUUAAGUCUUAAACCAAAGUACACAUCCUGCUGCUUUUUGUAUUACAGAAAUAUAUAUUUCCAUAUAUAUUUCUGUAAUAUCUUAUAUUUAAAUAAAAAAAUCCGUUUAGGAUAGAUUUUCGGAAUAUAUCACGGUAACAAUGUUGAUAAGAAAAUUUGAAUUUUGGUGAACAAAAAUGGGAGCAAUUCAAUCACUAAGGGCAAAUGAAACAUCAUUCUCUGAAAUCUACGUAAGAGUUGAUAAUUAGUUGAUACAUUAACAUCGUGUUGUUAGAGUCCACCGAAAAAAAUCAGAAACAGAUGGUACAUAAAAAAAUAAACUUCACCUACUAGAUUUGACGCAAACAAAAACAAUUUUUUUGCAACUACGUUCUCGAUACUAAACUUUUAACCGGAGUCAGCGGUUCCGCCUUAAAUCCACGCCGAAAACAAAUCAAACCUAGAGCUUUCUUCUUUAAAAAGGGAAAUCCGCCACAAGUCAUACCCCAUCUCUCAACCCCCUACCUAGAUACGAACCCUCACCUCCGAUGCCGCUCACCCUCGAACCUCGCCCUAGGCUAACCAGUCUUCUGAUCCGGUGAAAAGAAUUCUAAUCACGGCGACAAAGAUGGACGAUGGCUCAAACAUACCACCAACCGUCGAAAUCCGAAACUAGCCAUGUAGGAUUCAGUCGGUUCCGCCGCUUAUUUUUUCACGCGUGGUGAUAAUAAGUCGCCCACUUGCAUCGUGCUCCAUAUCUACACGUUUCAUGACCACUGGAAAGCCACCGCUUCGCUGAACGAUCCACCCAAUGACGAUAAAAACGUUUAUACAAAAAGGAAAAAUGUUUAUCAGCUACACGAACGAGACGUCGUCACAUCGUCACACAUGCAGACUUUAAAAAUGUCUCGUUAGCUACACGAACUAUUGUUAUCACAUACGGACAUCCCCGAACUAACAUAAGUCAUGUUGCAAACACCAUAACCAUCUAAUUCCAGUGUACUGGUUGCCGGAAUCUGGCGUUGACCGACGUUGACCGGCGUUGACAAAAAAAUAUUUUCAAAAAAAAUAUUUUUUUUUUCGUUUUUUACCACAAAAUAAUAUUCAAACAACCGAGAAGAAAAAUAUAUUUUUUUUUGGUAAAAAAAUGAUUGCC